GUGGAAGGAAUUUUGCGCGAAUGGGGGGAAACCCUGACGCAGCAACGCCGCGUGGGUGAAGAAGGCUUUCGGGUCGUAAAGCCCUGUCAGGUGGGAAGAACCGUUUCGAUACUAAUAAUGUCGAAGCCUGACG
Molecule: ribosomal RNA, 133 nt
Filed under: uncultured bacterium
Lineage: Bacteria
Description: partial 16S ribosomal RNA
Rfam family: Bacterial small subunit ribosomal RNA
Source: RNAcentral